ACUUAAGCAUAUCAAUAAGCGGAGGAAAAGAAACCAACAGGGAUUGCCCUAGUAACGGCGAGUGAAGCGGCAACAGCUCAAAUUUGAAAGCUGGCUCCGGCCCGCAUUGUAAUUUGCAGAGGAUGCUUUUGGUGAGGUGCCUUCCGAGUUCCCUGGAACGGGACGCCAUAGAGGGUGAGAGCCCCGUAUGGAUGGACACCAAACCUGUGUAAAGCUCCUUCAACGAGUCGAGUAGUUUGGGAAUGCUGCUCAAAAUGGGAGGUAAAUCUCUUCUAAAGCUAAAUACCGGCCAGAGACCGAUAGCGCACAAGUAGAGUGAUCGAAAGAUGAAAAGCACCUUGAAAAGGGGGUUAAACAGUACGUGAAAUUGUUAAAAGGGAAGCGCUUGUGACCAGACUUGCGCCGGGCAGCUCAUCAGGGGUUCUCCCCUGUGCACUCUGCCCGGCUCAGGCCAGCAUCGGUUCUCGUGGGAGGAUAAGAACAGUAGGAAUGUGGCCCCCUCUCGGGGGGGUGUUAUAGCCUAUUGUACGAUACUCUCGUGGGGACCGAGGUUCGCGCUCCGCAAGGAUGCUGGCGUAAUGGUCAUCAGCGACCCGUCUUGAAACACGGACCAAGGAGUCGUCCAUUAGAGCGAGCGUUUGGGUGUAAAACCCGCACGCGUAAUGAAAGUGAACGCAGGUGAGAGCUUCGGCGCAUCAUCGACCGAUCCUGAUGUCUUCGGAUGGAUUUGAGUAAGAGUUUUAACGGACGGACCCGAAAGACAGUGAACUAUGCUUGUAUAGGGUGAAGCCAGAGGAAACUCUGGUGGAGGCUCGCAGCGGUUCUGACGUGCAAAUCGAUCGUCAAAUAUGAGCA
This 855-nucleotide ribosomal RNA is filed under the name Valsa ceratophora. RNAcentral describes it as "LSU rRNA". It matches the Rfam family "Eukaryotic large subunit ribosomal RNA", at positions 32 to 917 of the family's 3401-position model. Lineage: Eukaryota; Fungi; Ascomycota; Sordariomycetes; Diaporthales; Cytosporaceae. The record is from RNAcentral.